CCUACGGGAGACAGCAGUGGGGAAUAUUGGGCAAUGGGCGCAAGCCUGACCCAGCAACGCCGCGUGAAGGAAGAAGGCUUUCGGGUUGUAAACUUCUUUUGACAGGGAAGAGCAGAAGACGGUACCUGUCGAAUAAGCCACGGCUAACUACGUGCCAGCAGCCGCGGUAAUACGUAGGUGGCAAGCGUUGUCCGGAUUUACUGGGUGGAAAGGGCGUGUAGCCGGGCUGACAAGUCAGAUGUGAAAUCCGGGGGCUCAACCCCCGAACUGCAUUUGAAACUGUUGGUCUUGAGUAUCGGAGAGGCAGGCGGAAUUCCUAGUGUAGCGGUGAAAUGCGUAGAUAUUAGGAGGAACACCAGUGGCGAAGGCGGCCUGCUGGACGACAACUGACGGUGAGGCGCGAAAGCGUGGGGAGCAAACAGGAUUAGAUACCCGAGUAGUC
RNAcentral lists this ribosomal RNA (442 nucleotides) under uncultured bacterium. RNAcentral describes it as "partial 16S ribosomal RNA". It matches the Rfam family "Bacterial small subunit ribosomal RNA", at positions 338 to 795 of the family's 1533-position model. The record is from RNAcentral.